This 954-nucleotide ribosomal RNA is filed under the name uncultured bacterium. RNAcentral's name for it is "bacterial SSU rRNA". It matches the Rfam family "Bacterial small subunit ribosomal RNA", at positions 521 to 1482 of the family's 1533-position model. The record is from RNAcentral.
UAAUACGGAGGGUGCAAGCGUUAUUCGGAAUUACUGGGUUUAAAGGGUGCGUAGGCGGUUAAAUAAGUUGUCAGUGAAAGGCUACGGCUCAACUGUAGUAGUGCUGGCGAUACUGUAUAACUAAGGACAUGGGAGGGGUACCUGGAAUGUGUGGUGUAGCGGUGAAAUGCGUAGAUAUCACACAGAACACCGGAGGCAAAGGCGGGGUACUAGACCAUAGUUGACGCUGAGGCACGAAGGCGUGGGGAUCAAACAGGAUUAGAUACCCUGGUAGUCCACGCCCUAAACGAUGAUCACUAGAUAUUGGCGACAGACAGUCAGUGUCCAAGCGAAAGUGAUAAGUGAUCCACCUGGGGAAUACGGCCGCAAGGUUAAAACUCAAAGGAAUUGACGGGGGCCCGCACAAGCGGAGGAGCAUGUGGUUUAAUUCGAUGGUACGCGAGGAACCUUACCUGGGUUAGAACGUAUGAUAAAUGUAGCUGAAAGGUUACAGUCCUGCAAGGGAUAUCAUACGAGGUGCUGCAUGGUUGUCGUCAGCUCGUGCCGUGAGGUGUUUGGUUAAGUCCAGCAACGAGCGCAACCCCUACCUUUAGUUGCCAGCAGGUAAAGCUGGGGACACUAGAGGGACUGCCUGCGCAAGCAGAGAGGAAGGUGGGGAUGACGUCAAAUCAGCACGGCCCUUAUGUCCAGGGCUACACACGUGCUACAAUGGUAACUACAGAGGGCAGCGACUAGGCGACUAGGAGCGAAUCUCGAAAAGUUAUCUCAGUUCGGAUUGGAGUCUGCAACUCGACUCCAUGAAGGUGGAUUCGCUAGUAAUCGCGCAUCAGCAAUGGCGCGGUGAAUACGUUCCCGGGCCUUGUACACACCGCCCGUCAAGCCAUGGAAGUUGGGGGUACCUAAAGUUCGUAACCGUAAAAGGAGCGACCUAGGGUAAACUCGAUGACUGGGGCU